This 305-nucleotide ribosomal RNA is filed under the name uncultured bacterium. RNAcentral's name for it is "partial 16S ribosomal RNA". It matches the Rfam family "Bacterial small subunit ribosomal RNA", at positions 508 to 809 of the family's 1533-position model. The record is from RNAcentral.
ACAGCAGUCGCCGCGGGAAUACGGAGGAUCCAAGCGUUAUCCGGAAUCAUUGGGUUUAAAGGGUCCGUAGGCGGUCUUGUAAGUCAGUGGUGAAAGCCCAUCGCUCAACGGUGGAACGGCCAUUGAUACUGCAGGACUUGAAUUAUUGGGAAGUAACUAGAAUAUGUAGUGUAGCGGUGAAAUGCUUAGAGAUUACAUGGAAUACCAAUUGCGAAGGCAGGUUACUACCAAUUGAUUGACGCUGAUGGACGAAAGCGUGGGUAGCGAACAGGAUUAGAUACCCCUGUAGUCCCUGUCUCUUAUAA